This 320-nucleotide ribosomal RNA is filed under the name Clostridioides difficile. Its description in RNAcentral is "partial 16S ribosomal RNA". It matches the Rfam family "Bacterial small subunit ribosomal RNA", at positions 1223 to 1533 of the family's 1533-position model. The record is from RNAcentral. Lineage: Bacteria; Bacillati; Bacillota; Clostridia; Peptostreptococcales; Peptostreptococcaceae.
UGCUACAAUGGGUAGUACAGAGGGUUGCCAAGCCGUAAGGUGGAGCUAAUCCCUUAAAGCUACUCUCAGUUCGGAUUGUAGGCUGAAACUCGCCUACAUGAAGCUGGAGUUACUAGUAAUCGCAGAUCAGAAUGCUGCGGUGAAUGCGUUCCCGGGUCUUGUACACACCGCCCGUCACACCACGGGAGUUGGAGACGCCCGAAGCCGAUUAUCUAACCUUUUGGAAGAAGUCGUCGAAGGUGGAAUCAAUAACGGGGGUGAAGUCGUAACAAGGUAGCCGUAUCGGAAGGUGCGGCUGGAUCACCUCCUUUCUAAGGAGA